This 467-nucleotide ribosomal RNA is filed under the name uncultured bacterium. Its description in RNAcentral is "partial 16S ribosomal RNA". It matches the Rfam family "Bacterial small subunit ribosomal RNA", at positions 28 to 507 of the family's 1533-position model. The record is from RNAcentral.
GACGAACGCUGGCGGCGUGCUUAACACAUGCAAGUCGAACGGAAAGGCCUCUUUCGGGGGGUACUCGAGUGGCGGACGGGUGAGUAACACGUGAGUAACCUGCCCUUGACUUUGGGAUAACUUCAGGAAACUGGGGCUAAUACCGGAUAGGAGCUCCUGCUGCAUGGUGGGGGUUGGAAAGUUUCGGCGGUUGGGGAUGGACUCGCGGCUUAUCAGCUUGUUGGUGGGGUAGUGGCUUACCAAGGCUUUGACGGGUAGCCGGCCUGAGAGGGUGACCGGCCACAUUGGGACUGAGAUACGGCCCAGACUCCUACGGGAGGCAGCAGUGGGGAAUAUUGCACAAUGGGUGGAAGCCUGAUGCAGCAACGCCGUGUGCGGGAUGACGGCCUUCGGGUUGUAAACCGCUUUCGCUCAUGACGAAGCUUUGUGUGACGGUAGUGGGUAAAGAAGCACCGGCUAACUACGUG